UUCGUAGGUGGCCAACUAAGUCAGACGUGAAAUCCCUCAGCUUAACUGGGGAACUGCGUCUGAUACUGGUGUGGCUUGAGUGCAGGAGAGGAACGCGGAAUUCCAGGUGUAGCGGUGAAAUGCGUAGAUAUCUGGAGGAACACCGGUGGCGAAGGCGGCGUUCUGGACUGCAACUGACACUGAGGAACGAAAGCCAGGGAGCAAACG
Molecule: ribosomal RNA, 207 nt
Filed under: uncultured bacterium
Lineage: Bacteria
Description: partial 16S ribosomal RNA
Rfam family: Bacterial small subunit ribosomal RNA
Source: RNAcentral